AUUGAACGCUGGCGGCAGGCCUAACACAUGCAAGUCGAACGGUAACAGGAAGAAGCUUGCUUCUUUGCUGACGAGUGGCGGACGUGUGUGUAAUGUCUGGGAAACUGCCUGAUGGAGGGGGAUAACUACUGGAAACGGUAGCUAAUACCGCAUAUCUUCUCAAGACCAAAGAGGGGUACCUUCAGGCCUCUUGCCAUCCGAUGUUCCCAGAUGGGAUUAGCUAGUAGGUAGGGUAACGGCUCACCUAGGCGACGAUCCCUAGCUGGUCUGAGAGGAUGACCAGCCACACUGGAACUGAGACACGGUCCAGACUCCUACGGGAGGCAGCAGUGGGGAAUAUUGCACAAUGGGCGCAAGCCUGAUGCAGCCAUGCCGCGUGUAUGAAGAAGGCCUUCGGGUUGUAAAGUACUUUCAGCGGGGAGGAAGGGAGUAAAGUUAAUACCUUUGCUCAUUGACGUUACCCGAAGAAGAAGCACCGGCUAACUCCGUG
RNAcentral lists this ribosomal RNA (490 nucleotides) under uncultured bacterium. Its description in RNAcentral is "partial 16S ribosomal RNA". It matches the Rfam family "Bacterial small subunit ribosomal RNA", at positions 30 to 507 of the family's 1533-position model. The record is from RNAcentral.